This 468-nucleotide ribosomal RNA is filed under the name uncultured bacterium. RNAcentral's name for it is "partial 16S ribosomal RNA". It matches the Rfam family "Bacterial small subunit ribosomal RNA", at positions 28 to 507 of the family's 1533-position model. The record is from RNAcentral.
GACGACCGCUGGCGGCGUGCUUAACACAUGCAAGUCGAACGGAAAGGCCCUGCUUUUGUGGUUUGCUCGAGUGGCGAACGGGUGAGUAACCCGUGAGUAACCUGCCCUUGACUUUGGGAUAACUUCAGGAAACUGGGGCUAAUACCGGAUAGGAGCUCCUGCUGCAUGGUGGGGGUUGGAAAGUUUCGGCGGUUGGGGAUGGACUCGCGGCUUAUCAGCUUGUUGGUGGGGUAGUGGCUUACCAAGGCUUUGACGGGUAGCCGGCCUGAGAGGGUGACCGGCCACAUUGGGACUGAGAUACGGCCCAGACUCCUACGGGAGGCAGCAGUGGGGAAUAUUGCACAAUGGGCGGAAGCCUGAUGCAGCAACGCCGCGUGCGGGAUGACGGCCUUCGGGUUGUAAACCGCUUUCGCCUGUGACGAAGCGUGAGUGACGGUAAUGGGUAAAGAAGCACCGGCUAACUACGUG